GAUGAACGCUGGCGGCGUGCCUAAUACAUGCAAGUCGAGCGAACAGAUGAGGAGCUUGCUCCUCUGACGUUAGCGGCGGACGGGGGAGUAACACGUGGAUAACCUACCUAUAAGACUGGGAUAACUUCGGGAAACCGGAGCUAAUACCGGAUAAUAUAUUGAACCGCAUGGUUCAAUAGUGAAAGACGGUUUUGCUGUCACUUAUAGAUGGAUCCGCGCCGCAUUAGCUAGUUGGUAAGGUAACGGCUUACCAAGGCAACGAUGCGUAGCCGACCUGAGAGGGUGAUCGGCCACAAUGGAACUGAGACACGGUCCAGACUCCUACGGGAGGCAGCAGUAGGGAAUCUUCCGCAAUGGGCGAAAGCCUGACGGAGCAACGCCGCGUGAGUGAUGAAGGUCUUCGGAUCGUAAAACUCUGUUAUUAGGGAAGAACAAAUGUGUAAGUAACUAUGCACGUCUUGACGGUACCUAAUCAGAAAGCCACGGCUAACUACGUG
This 497-nucleotide ribosomal RNA is filed under the name uncultured bacterium. RNAcentral describes it as "partial 16S ribosomal RNA". It matches the Rfam family "Bacterial small subunit ribosomal RNA", at positions 28 to 507 of the family's 1533-position model. The record is from RNAcentral.